GCAAGCCGUAUGCGGUGAGAGUUGCACGUACGGUUACGGGGGGGUUAACAUCUAUACGUAUAGUGUGGUGGACUACUCCAU
Non-coding RNA from Picea glauca (white spruce), 81 nucleotides. The record is from Rfam. Lineage: Eukaryota; Viridiplantae; Streptophyta; Pinopsida; Pinales; Pinaceae.